UGGGGGAUAUUGCACAAUGGGCGAAAGCCUGAUGCAGCGACGCCGCGUGGGGGAUGAAGGCCUUCGGGUUGUAAACUUCUUUUGCUCUGAACAAGGCGCACCAUGGGGUGUGUUGAGUGUAGGGGUUGAUUAGCGCCGGCUAACUACGUGCCAGCAGCCGCGGUAAUACGUAGGGCGCGAGCGUUGUCCGGAAUUAUUGGGCGUAAAGGGCUUGUAGGUGGCUGGUUGCGUCUGUCGUGAAAGCCCAUGGCUUAACUGUGGGUUUGCGGUGGGUACGGGCUGGCUUGAGUGCAGUAGGGGAGGCUGGAAUUCCUGGUGUAGCGGUGGAAUGCGCAGAUAUCAGGAGGAAUACCGGUGGCGAAGGCGGGUCUCUGGGUUGUUACUGACACUGAGGAGCGAAAGCAUGGGGAGCGAACAGG
RNAcentral lists this ribosomal RNA (419 nucleotides) under bacterium. RNAcentral describes it as "partial 16S ribosomal RNA". It matches the Rfam family "Bacterial small subunit ribosomal RNA", at positions 355 to 776 of the family's 1533-position model. The record is from RNAcentral.